UUUUUUUUGGUCUGAGGGAUUAAAUCCAGGGUCUUUAACCAUGGAGUCACAUCCCCAGACAUUUUUAUUUUUUUUAAUUUUGAGAUAGAGUUUCACCAAGUUGCUUGUAGCUUUGGUAAAUCACUGAGGGUGGCUUUGAACCUGGGAUCAUCUUGCCUCAGCCUCCUGGGCAGUUGGGAUUACAGGUGUGCAUCACCUUAUCUUGAAAUUUAUCCAUAUGAUUGAGCAUCUUUAUAUACCUGAUUUUUAAAUAAAUCAGUAAUCAAUAUUAUAGAACUUGAACAAGAAAUGAGCUAUUUCUUCUAUUCUUUUAUAUGUAUCUGCACAUUAAAUCCUGACAACCCUAAUUAGACUUUGAUGUAUUCAAUCUUUGCCUGUCAAUCACCAUUAUUUCUUUAUUUUAUUUAUUCUAUUUUUACAUAUGACAGCAGAAUGCAAUUCAAAUCAUAUUACACAAAUAUAGCACAAUUUUUCAUGUCUCUGGUUGUACAUAGAGUCCCACCAUUAGUGUUUACAUACAUGUAUUUAAGGUAAUGAUGUCUGUCUCAUUCUAUCAUCUUUCCUAUCCUAUGCCCCCUCCCUUCCCCUCCCUCACCUUUGCCCUAUCUAAAGUUCGUCUAUUCCUCCCACACUGCCCCCUCCAUUCCCAUUAUGAAUCAGCAUCUUCAUAUCAGAGAAAAUAUUUUGAAUUUAUUUUUGGGGGAUUGGCUUACUUCACUUACCAUUAUAUUCUCCAACUCCAUCCAUUUACCUGAAAAUUCCAUGAUUUUAUUCUCUUUUAUUGCUGAGUAAUAUUCCAAUGUGUAUAUAUACCACAUUUUCUUUAUCCAUUAAUCUACUGAAGGGCAUCUAGGUUGGUUCCACAAUUUAGCUAUUGUGAAUUGUGCUGCUAUAAACAUUGAUGUAGCUGCAUCACUGUAGUAUGCUGUUUUUAAGUCCUUUGGGUAUAAACCGAGGAGUUCGAUAGCUGAGUCAAAUGGUGGUUCCAUUCCCAAUUUUCUAAGGAAUCUUCAUACUACUUUCCAUAUUGGCUGCACCAAUUUGCAGUCCCACCAGCAAUGUAUGAGUGUGCCUUUUCCCCCACAUCCUCGACAACACUUGUUUGUAUUCUUAAUAGCUGCCAUUCUGACUGGAGUGAGAUGAAAUCUUAGAGUAGUUUUGAUUUGCAUUUCUCUAAUUGCUAGAGAUUUUGAACAUUUUUUCAUGUAUUUGUUGUCAAUCAUCAUUGUUAAUACAAUCAAAUAAUAUUUACAGAUGGAGAGAGUUUGUUCUGGAAGCAGGUUAAAAACACCAACAUACAAUGUAUUGUUAAAUGUUGAUGCAUUUUUGUAGAAAUCAUAUUUGGAAGGAUUAAUAAAAAUUUUAUUAUUAAAUUAUUAUUGUGAGA
This 1387-nucleotide long non-coding RNA is filed under the name Marmota monax (woodchuck). Lineage: Eukaryota; Metazoa; Chordata; Mammalia; Rodentia; Sciuridae. The record is from RNAcentral.